Molecule: ribosomal RNA, 465 nt
Filed under: uncultured bacterium
Lineage: Bacteria
Description: bacterial SSU rRNA
Rfam family: Bacterial small subunit ribosomal RNA
Source: RNAcentral
CCUANGGGGGGCAGCAGUGGGGAAUAUUGGACAAUGGGGGAAACCCUGAUCCAGCAAUGCCGCGUGUGUGAAGAAGGCCUGCGGGUUGUAAAGCACUUUCAGUAGAGAAGAAAUGCCUGGAGCUAACAUCUCUGGGUCUUGACGUAACCUACAGAAGAAGCACCGGCUAACUCCGUGCCAGCAGCCGCGGUAAUACGGAGGGUGCGAGCGUUAAUCGGAAUUACUGGGCGUAAAGCGCGCGUAGGCGGUUUGGUCAGUCGAUUGUGAAAGCCCUGGGCUUAACCUGGGAAUUGCAGUCGAUACUGCCUGACUAGAAUGUGGAAGAGGGAAGUGGAAUUUCCGGUGUAGCGGUGAAAUGCGUAGAUAUCGGAAGGAACACCAGUGGCGAAGGCGGCUUCCUGGUCCAACAUUGACGCUGAGGUGCGAAAGCGUGGGGAGCGAACAGGAUUAGAUACCCCUNUANUC